GACGAACGCUGGCGGCGUGCUUAACACAUGCAAGUCGAACGGAAAGGCCCUGCUUUUGUGGGGUGCUCGAGUGGCGAACGGGUGAGUAACACGUGAGUAACCUGCCCUUGACUUUGGGAUAACUUCAGGAAACUGGGGCUAUUACCGGAUAGGAGCUCCUGCUGCAUGGUGGGGGUUGGAAAGUUUCGGCGGUUGGGGAUGGACUCGCGGCUUAUCAGCUUGUUGGUGGGGUAGUGGCUUACCAAGGCUUUGACGGGUAGCCGGCCUGAGAGGGUGACCGGCCACAUUGGGACUGAGAUACGGCCCAGACUCCUACGGGAGGCAGCAGUGGGGAAUAUUGCACAAUGGGCGGAAGCCUGAUACAGCAACGCCGCGUGCGGGAUGACGGCCUUCGGGUUGAAAACCGCUUUCGCCGGUGACGAAGCGUGAGUGACGGUAAUGGGUAAAGAAGCACCGGCUAACUACGUG
RNAcentral lists this ribosomal RNA (468 nucleotides) under uncultured bacterium. RNAcentral's name for it is "partial 16S ribosomal RNA". It matches the Rfam family "Bacterial small subunit ribosomal RNA", at positions 28 to 507 of the family's 1533-position model. The record is from RNAcentral.